UACGCAUAUAUUCAUGGGUUCAGGUGAAC
RNAcentral lists this non-coding RNA (29 nucleotides) under Rattus norvegicus (Norway rat). The record is from RNAcentral. Lineage: Eukaryota; Metazoa; Chordata; Mammalia; Rodentia; Muridae.